RNAcentral lists this ribosomal RNA (101 nucleotides) under uncultured bacterium. Its description in RNAcentral is "partial 16S ribosomal RNA". The record is from RNAcentral.
UACACACCGCCCGUCACGUCACGAAAGUCGGCAACACCCGAAGCUCAUGGCCUAACCCGCAAGGGAGGCAGGCGACCACGGUCGGUUCAGCGACUGGGGUG